UACGUAGGUGGCAAGCGUUGUCCGGAUUUACUGGGUGUAAAGGGCGUGUAGCCGGGUUGACAAGUCAGAUGUGGAAUCCUGCGGCUUAACCGCAGAACUGCAUUUGAAACUGUUGAUCUUGAGUACUGGAGAGGCAGACGGAAUACCUAGUGUAGCGGUGAAAUGCGUAGAUAUUAGGAGGAACACCAGUGGCGAAGGCGGUCUGCUGGACAGCAACUGACGGUGAGGCGCGAAAGCGUGGGGAGCAAACAGG
RNAcentral lists this ribosomal RNA (253 nucleotides) under uncultured bacterium. RNAcentral's name for it is "partial 16S ribosomal RNA". It matches the Rfam family "Bacterial small subunit ribosomal RNA", at positions 524 to 776 of the family's 1533-position model. The record is from RNAcentral.